UGGUUUUGAGAAUAGGUUGUUGCUAGAGCACUGUGUGUUAUCCUUUUAUGUGCCUCCUAGUGUCCAUGUUACAUUUAGCGCUACAUCAAAAGUAUUCCUGAUGAUUCACCAACAAGCCCCGUCCCCGUCACUACCCAUGUUUUACAGAUGGAGCAAUUUCAUGGUCUUGGAGGCAGCAGCAUAGGACCCGCAACACGGCGCAUUUUAGGAAUUUUGCUAAGCCAAAAAGUGGCAGUGCAGUACAGUUGGCUUGGCAAAAAAGGAAAGAAAAGUUUUUCUGCACUGCAAGUGGCUGACACAAUCACAAGGGCUGUAAUGCAAAAUUUUCCCACAUCAAAAAGAAAUGAUGUCGAAAGUAUAAUAAAGGUGUGGCUGCGCCACUCUGGCGAAAAACUUCGAAAACAGCAGGCCAAGGCUGCCACAUCUGAAAGCUCACUGGAUGUGAACUCGGAUUUCUCUGAUUAAAUGCCUGGAAAUUCAAGAUUUCAAGAGGAGUCAAUUUGCUCAAGAUUUAUUGCUGGCCUUGGCAGGUGCCAC
Molecule: non-coding RNA, 537 nt
Organism: Dermacentor andersoni
Lineage: Eukaryota; Metazoa; Arthropoda; Arachnida; Ixodida; Ixodidae
Source: RefSeq, a predicted model, not a curated record